RNAcentral lists this long non-coding RNA (207 nucleotides) under Physcomitrium patens. RNAcentral's name for it is "long non-coding RNA (PPAT_LNC013554)". Lineage: Eukaryota; Viridiplantae; Streptophyta; Bryopsida; Funariales; Funariaceae. The record is from RNAcentral.
ACAAUUAGCUUUGAGAAGCUAUAAUUUUCAAUUUGACUGUCCGAUUGUUGUAAAACUUCUACCACUAGUAUCUUUGCAAGCCUUCUAAAUGCUCAAAAAGUUUCAAUCCAAUGCAACUUACAAAUUGCAAGAAAACGUCGUAAAUCCACACUGAUGUCCCUUGACCGACGCUUAGAAAGUUGAUGAUGAACUUUGAAUUACAAAUUC